Molecule: non-coding RNA, 94 nt
Filed under: chicken gut metagenome
Description: Purine riboswitch
Rfam family: Purine riboswitch aptamer
About the family: Riboswitches are metabolite binding domains within certain messenger RNAs that serve as precision sensors for their corresponding targets. Allosteric rearrangement of mRNA structure is mediated by ligand binding, and this results in modulation of gene expression.
Source: RNAcentral
AUAUCAUUUAUUGUGAACUUAUAUAAUCGUUAGGAUAUGGCUAACAAGUUUCUACCCCAAACCAUAAAUUUGGGACUAUAAGUGCAAUUUUUAC